This 730-nucleotide ribosomal RNA is filed under the name uncultured bacterium. Its description in RNAcentral is "bacterial SSU rRNA". It matches the Rfam family "Bacterial small subunit ribosomal RNA", at positions 771 to 1501 of the family's 1533-position model. The record is from RNAcentral.
AACAGGAUUAGAUACCCUGGUAGUCCACGCCGUAAACGAUGUCGACUUGGAGGUUGUUCCCUUGAGGAGUGGCUUCCGGAGCUAACGCGUUAAGUCGACCGCCUGGGGAGUACGGCCGCAAGGUUAAAACUCAAAUGAAUUGACGGGGGCCCGCACAAGCGGUGGAGCAUGUGGUUUAAUUCGAUGCAACGCGAAGAACCUUACCUACUCUUGACAUCCAGAGAACUUAGCAGAGAUGCUUUGGUGCCUUCGGGAACUCUGAGACAGGUGCUGCAUGGCUGUCGUCAGCUCGUGUUGUGAAAUGUUGGGUUAAGUCCCGCAACGAGCGCAACCCUUAUCCUUUGUUGCCAGCGAUUCGGUCGGGAACUCAAAGGAGACUGCCGGUGAUAAACCGGAGGAAGGUGGGGAUGACGUCAAGUCAUCAUGGCCCUUACGAGUAGGGCUACACACGUGCUACAAUGGCGCAUACAAAGAGAAGCGACCUCGCGAGAGCAAGCGGACCUCAUAAAGUGCGUCGUAGUCCGGAUCGGAGUCUGCAACUCGACUCCGUGAAGUCGGAAUCGCUAGUAAUCGUGGAUCAGAAUGCCACGGUGAAUACGUUCCCGGGCCUUGUACACACCGCCCGUCACACCAUGGGAGUGGGUUGCAAAAGAAGUAGGUAGCUUAACCUUCGGGAGGGCGCUUACCACCUUGUGAUUCAUGACUGGGGUGAAGUCGUAACAAGGUAACC